CAGCUUGAGCAUGUCCCGAAUUGCACAUCUCUUCCCUCUCUUAUUCCCACUCUUAUAUUUAACAGUGAUCACUUUUCAGUUAAGUUUCAGCACUUAAGAAGAAUUGUGUAUUGAUUACAGUAUUCAACCAAAAGUAUUAAGUAGAACAAACAAAAAAAAAUACUAAGAGGGAUAACAUAUCAAGUUGCUCAUCAACAGUCAGGGUGAGGGCUGAUCAAGUCACUGUUUCUCAUAGUGUUCAUUUCACUUUAACAGGUUUCCUUUUUGGUGCUCAGUUAGUUGUCACCUAUCAAGGAGAACAAGUGGUAUUUGUCCCUUUGGGAUUGGCUUAUUUCACUCAGCAUAAUGUUUUCCAAAUUCCUAACAGGGAUCACUUUUCAGUUAAAAUUUAAACACCUAAGAAUAAUUGUGUGUUAAUUACAGAGUUCAACCAAUGGUACUAGAACAAAAAAAAAUACUAAAAUGGAUAAAGUAUUACAUUGUACAUCAACAGUCAGCACAAGAGCUGUUUGAGAAACAGUGACUUGACCAUGCUUGUAUAUUUUCACUAAAAAUCAUUAGAAUACUUAUUUUGAAAAGCUGAAGUCUUAGGCAUUUGGAUGAAUAUACAAAGGAUUUUCAAAAAGUGGAAAACAAAAUUAAAAGUUCAUCUUGGUGCAAAAAGUUUUGAACACAGUGAAUAAUUUUUUUCAAAACACACACUUUCCCUAAACAGUUUGAAGACACUUCAUACUUCAGCUGCCAUCAAAACAAAAGUAGAAAAAUAAUUUUUUUCAUUCCAGUCAAUGAAGCUGGAUUAAUACAGUGAUACUAACUUGAACUAUAAAAAUUUUUAUGUAUGAGUCUACCAUGAUGACACUAUUUUAAUAGAAAUAUUUAUAAUCUGGAAUUAUUUUUUCAGAUUGUGUUUGCUCAUCUUGAGAUGAAGAUAAAGAAACAUGUCUCCCCCAAAUCUUCCUCUUAUUUCAACUCACUCCAAUCUUCUUAGUAUAUUUGAAUGGUGAAAGUGUGGUUCCAGAACAGGAGGAUGAAGUGGAAGAGGGUAAAAUUGGGCCAGCUGGGCACUGCUGCCUGAGAAAAGGAACUGGUGAACGUGAAGAAAGGAACCCUGUUCCCUUCAGAGAUAUCAGGGAUCGGUGCAGCCAUGCUCCAGCAAACAGGGGACUCUCCGGACAAUGAAGACAGCCACAACAGCGACCACAGCUCAGAGCAUGCACACUUAUGAUCCACACAGACAGGACCAACUCCAUCCUCAGGAAAGAAGCACCGUGAUGGCAAGUCUUACCCAACAGAGUUUUCACAGAGAGAUGGCCAUGGCCAUGAUUUUUAAUAUUAUCAAAUUCAGGCAUCAUGGGUCUGUUUUGCAUGAUUUAUAGAGGAUUUAUACUAAGUGCCACUUAUCAAAGAUGCUUCCAUGAUGAAAAUCAGAAGGUGAAUUUUCUUUGAAUAGUCAGAGAUGUUUGGUUGUAUGUAUGACAGUGAGCAGGUAUGUUUGCCUUUGCUUGUACUGAAAAAUUAAAUGGGUACCCAAGAACAAAUUAUGACACAUUUCUACACGAGAUGCCUCCAGAGUGAAAUCGUUGAAGAUGAACUUGCUUUAAACUCUCAGCUGAUGAAAAUAGGCACUGAUAAUGCCAGCCAGGCCAGCUUCCUGCCUUUUUAUGCAUGUGUCAUUCUGAGACAAUCCAUAUGUGCUUACUUGUGUACAAGUAGAGAAACAUACAGUAGAUAGAGUCUGAUAUGACAUAUUCUUGUACCACAGACAAAACAAACAUUAUGUUGCAUUUACUAUCAACUGCUGCUAAUAAGUUUUUAUACAACUUACCUAGCUCCUCCUUGAUUCGUCCUAUCUUGUAGCUUGAAAAAAAAAUAGGAUCAUAGGCAAAUCAGUUACUUUGUGGAAAGAGCUUUGUUGUGGCAGACACUGUGAUUUUAUUUCUAUAAAAUUAAAGCUGUUAUGAAUAUGACUUAAUUAACAAGAAAAUGUUUCUUCCUUCUUAGAAAUGGUGUCAGACAAGGAGCAAAGCCAAAUGGGCUCCCCAAGGGGAUAGACAAAACAAUUCUGAAUGUCUUCAAAUUAAAUUCAGUAAAAACACA
Molecule: non-coding RNA, 2097 nt
Organism: Oryctolagus cuniculus (rabbit)
Lineage: Eukaryota; Metazoa; Chordata; Mammalia; Lagomorpha; Leporidae
Source: RefSeq, a predicted model, not a curated record